AACGAACGCUGGCGGCAGGCCUAACACAUGCAAGUCGAGCGAGAUCUUCGGGUCUAGCGGCGGACGGGUGUGUAACGCGUGGGAAUAUGCCCUUCUCUGCGGAAUAGCCUCGGGAAACUGAGCGUAAUACCGCAUACGCCCUUUGGGGGAAAGAUUUAUCGGAGAAGGAUUAGCACGCGUUGGAUUCGGUAGUUGGUGGGGUAACGGCCUACCAAGCCGACGAUGCAUAGCUGGGUUGAGAGGAUGGUCAGCCACACUGGGACUGAGACACGGCCCAGACUCCUACGGGAGGCAGCAGUGGCGAAUCUCAGACAAUGGGGGCAACCCUGAUCUAGCCAUGCCGCGUAAGUGAUGAAGGCCGUAGGGAUGUAAAGCUCUUUCAGCUGGGAAGAUAAUGACGGUACCUGCAGAAGAAGCCCCGGCUAACUCCGUG
RNAcentral lists this ribosomal RNA (433 nucleotides) under uncultured bacterium. RNAcentral describes it as "partial 16S ribosomal RNA". It matches the Rfam family "Bacterial small subunit ribosomal RNA", at positions 29 to 507 of the family's 1533-position model. The record is from RNAcentral.